RNAcentral lists this ribosomal RNA (253 nucleotides) under uncultured bacterium. RNAcentral describes it as "partial 16S ribosomal RNA". It matches the Rfam family "Bacterial small subunit ribosomal RNA", at positions 524 to 776 of the family's 1533-position model. The record is from RNAcentral.
UACAGAGGGGGCAAGCGUUAUUCGGAAUUAUUGGGCGUAAAGGGCGCGUAGGCGGCCUGGCAAGUGGAAGGUGAAAUCCCUCGGCUUAACCGAGGAACUGCCCUCCAAACUGCUUGGCUUGAGACCGGGAGAGGUGAGUGGAAUUCCCAGUGUAGCGGUGAAAUGCGUAGAUAUUGGGAAGAACACCGGUGGCGAAGGCGGCUCUCUGGGCCGAUACUGACGCUGAGGAGCGAAAGCGUGGGGAGCGAACAGG